This 68-nucleotide transfer RNA is filed under the name marine eukaryotic metagenome. It matches the Rfam family "tRNA", at positions 5 to 66 of the family's 71-position model. Rfam says of the family: Transfer RNA (tRNA) molecules are approximately 80 nucleotides in length. The record is from RNAcentral.
GGGCGUAGCUCAGUUGGUUAGAGCGCCAGGUUGUGAUCCUGGAAGUCGCGGGUUCGAUUCCCGUCGCU